AGUCGACGAACUCUGGUAUUGAUUGGUGCUUGCAUCAUGAUUUACAUUUGAGUGAGUGGCGAACUGGUGAGUAACACGUGGGAAACCUGCCCAGAAGCGGGGGAUAACACCUGGAAACAGAUGCUAAUACCGCAUAACAACUUGGACCGCAUGGUCCGAGUUUGAAAGAUGGCUUCGGCUAUCACUUUUGGAUGGUCCCGCGGCGUAUUAGCUAGAUGGUGAGGUAACGGCUCACCAUGGCAAUGAUACGUAGCCGACCUGAGAGGGUAAUCGGCCACAUUGGGACUGAGACACGGCCCAAACUCCUACGGGAGGCAGCAGUAGGGAAUCUUCCACAAUGGACGAAAGUCUGAUGGAGCAACGCCGCGUGAGUGAAGAAGGGUUUCGGCUCGUAAAACUCUGUUGUUAAAGAAGAACAUAUCUGAGAGUAACUGUUCAGGUAUUGACGGUAUUUAACCAGAAAGCCACGGCUAACUACGUGCCAGCAGCCGCGGUAAUACGUAGGUGGCAAGCGUUGUCCGGAUUUAUUGGGCGUAAAGCGAGCGCAGGCGGUUUUUUAAGUCUGAUGUGAAAGCCUUCGGCUCAACCGAAGAAGUGCAUCGGAAACUGGGAAACUUGAGUGCAGAAGAGGACAGUGGAACUCCAUGUGUAGCGGUGAAAUGCGUAGAUAUAUGGAAGAACACCAGUGGCGAAGGCGGCUGUCUGGUCUGUAACUGACGCUGAGGCUCGAAAGUAUGGGUAGCAAACAGGAUUAGAUACCCUGGUAGUCCAUACCGUAAACGAUGAAUGCUAAGUGUUGGAGGGUUUCCGCCCUUCAGUGCUGCAGCUAACGCAUUAAGCAUUCCGCCUGGGGAGUACGGCCGCAAGGCUGAAACUCAAAGGAAUUGACGGGGGCCCGCACAAGCGGUGGAGCAUGUGGUUUAAUUCGAAGCUACGCGAAGAACCUUACCAGGUCUUGACAUACUAUGCAAAUCUAAGAGAUUAGACGUUCCCUUCGGGGACAUGGAUACAGGUGGUGCAUGGUUGUCGUCAGCUCGUGUCGUGAGAUGUUGGGUUAAGUCCCGCAACGAGCGCAACCCUUAUUAUCAGUUGCCAGCAUUAAGUUGGGCACUCUGGUGAGACUGCCGGUGACAAACCGGAGGAAGGUGGGGAUGACGUCAAAUCAUCAUGCCCCUUAUGACCUGGGCUACACACGUGCUACAAUGGAUGGUACAACGAGUUGCGAACUCGCGAGAGUAAGCUAAUCUCUUAAAGCCAUUCUCAGUUCGGAUUGUAGGCUGCAACUCGCCUACAUGAAGUCGGAAUCGCUAGUAAUCGCGGAUCAGCAUGCCGCGGUGAAUACGUUCCCGGGCCUUGUACACACCGCCCGUCACACCAUGAGAGUUUGUAACACCCAAAGUCGGUGGGGUAACCUUUUAGA
RNAcentral lists this ribosomal RNA (1420 nucleotides) under Lactiplantibacillus plantarum. Its description in RNAcentral is "bacterial SSU rRNA". It matches the Rfam family "Bacterial small subunit ribosomal RNA". Lineage: Bacteria; Bacillati; Bacillota; Bacilli; Lactobacillales; Lactobacillaceae. The record is from RNAcentral.